Molecule: long non-coding RNA, 2013 nt
Filed under: Gossypium barbadense (sea-island cotton)
Lineage: Eukaryota; Viridiplantae; Streptophyta; Magnoliopsida; Malvales; Malvaceae
Description: long non-coding RNA (GBAR_LNC021543)
Source: RNAcentral
UAACCCAAUCGUGCCCUCCCCCCCUUUUUUUCCCAAUUCCAAAAUCAAGCUUCACCUCCACUGAUCCACCUUAGGUCCUUCACCCAUAACGUAAAUGGAGCUCUAUUUUGAGAAUAAUUUUCUCAAAAUAAACCAUUCACAAUCGUUGUAUUUUGCUUAAUUUUUGCGUCUGAAUCUUUUAAGAAAUCAUUAACAAUGGAUCCCUUGAUUCCCUUCCAUUUUCUGUCUGUUUGUUUCUAGUUAAUCCGGGUAACUUCAUUUUCUGUCUAGCUGUUUGUUUCUGGUUAAUCCGGGUAACUUCAUUUUCUUGUUCUUGUUGUUGUUCUUCUUCUUCCAUUUUCUGUUUGUUUCUGUCUGUAUUUUGCUUAAUGUUUGCUAAUUACAUUGAUCUCUUUUAUUGGAACUUGGUGCGAGUACCAUAUACGAAUAUUUUGCCGAAUUCUUUUUUUAAGUUUCUGUCUGUAUUUUGCUUAAUGUUUGUUUCCGUCUGUUUCUUUUUUUAACAUAGACUUCAAUAAUUACUGGAUUUGGCAACAUGUGGUAGUGUUUUUCUUAUGAUGUUGAUUUGGUAUUUCAUUUCCUAUAUAUAUAAAAUCAUUCAUUAAGUAAAGAAAAUAAUUGAUAGAAAUAUGUAGGAAAUCCUUAUCUAAUAUUAUUGAAAAAGUAACUUAGUUAAUUUCAUAAUAAAUUGAAUAGUUUAAUUUUUAUACUAUUAAAAAAUAAGCAAACAAGAGCUAUUGAUGAUAAUGUUAACUAUUUGCAUUAUAUGUUAACUAUAGCACUAUUUAGUUGUUAGAGACUAUUUGAAAAGUUGUUCCUUUCACACUUUGCAUUAAUUAAUAUACAAAAUGUGUUGGCCAGAAAUUAUAUACAAAAAAAUUGUUCUUAAAUUUUUUUUUAAGUAAACAAACAAUACACACUAUUUUUUUUAGUGAUACACUUAACAACUAGAUUUAUUUUAGAGUUAAUUGGUAUAACUUGUUAAUCCGGGUAACUUCAUUUUCUUCUUCCUCCUCUUCUUCUUCCAUUUUCUGUUUGUUUUUGUCUGUAUUUUGCUUAAUGUUUACUAAUUACAUUGAUCUCUUUUACUAGUAUUUGGUGCGAGUACCAGAUACGAAUAUUUUGCCGAAUUAUUUUUUUAAGUUUCUAUCUGUAUUUUUCUUAAUGUUUUUGUCUAUCUGUUUCUUUUUUUAACAUAGACUUCAAUAGCGACAUUAAGCUAGAUCGUUUUAGAUGAUCUGUUAUGUAUGUUACUUGCAGUUUCUAGUUAUUUUUAAUUGAAAAGAGUUUAGUUGAAGAGUAGGAAGUAGGCAGCACUUAUUUGAUGAGGGGUGUUAAAAUACUUGAGUCAUAUUAUGACAGUAUACUUGUGCAAGCUCCAAUAUAGUGGCUGGAGUUGAUAUUGUCAUAUCACAAUUUUGCAACAUUGGAUGAAGCAAAUAUGUAACGAUAAUUUUCCAAACUUGUUUUUUUUUUGUUUUUGUUUUGUUUUUUUUUUUUUGCGUUAAUAAUGAACCCCAAAUAUAUAUUAUACCAACAACUUAGGACACCAAUGAUUGUGUUUCCACUUAAGAGAGCAUGAGUAUAAGGUGGUUGAUAAAACUUCUGGCUCUAUUGUUUAGAUUGUAGCAAAUUUACAUUGCAUCUUUUACGACAAUUUCUUUGAAAGCUAUGCUAUGUUGGGAUGUGUGAUAAAGAUAUAGUAAAAGUGAGAGAUGGAAGCCUUAAAAUGUUAUGGACUGAUCAAUGAGUUGCCUUUCAUUGUUAACAUUCUUACAUCAAUGAACAGUGGAAAUUAUGCAUUCAUACGGAUUAUAAAUAGGUCAUGCCUUAAAAUGUUUGUUUAUAUGUUUAUAUCUGGAAAUGAAGUUCUCAGAAUUUUGAAAUUGCAUGGGAUUCGAGUUUAAUGAAUUUAUUAUAAUGUUUACUGAGAUCACAAGCUUAUUUUCUUCAUUUAAUCUCAUCUUUUUUUGUUUUUUCUUUAUUUUAUUGCAGAAACUAGCGACAUUGAAA